RNAcentral lists this small RNA (1227 nucleotides) under Arabidopsis thaliana (thale cress). RNAcentral describes it as "ATSL085000". Lineage: Eukaryota; Viridiplantae; Streptophyta; Magnoliopsida; Brassicales; Brassicaceae. The record is from RNAcentral.
AAAUAAAUUAGCAUAACAUUAACUUAGAAAAUAUGCUAUAUGACAUGGACAAAAUAUGCACACAUCCAAACAAAAUUUAGAAGAAGAAUUUCAUAUUUCUAAUGAUGCCAUAAGGAGUCGUCUUUUGCAUCUUCUUUCCUAACAUGAUACUUUUGUUCCUCGUCUUCUUCACAUGCUUGCAUAUAUGUCUUAACGUUUUUGAACAUUUCUUUUCAAGGUACCUUUAAAACUUUGAUUGUUUUAGAAAAAAACAAACAAAGUAGCAUAACAUUAACUUAGAAAAUAUGCUAUAUGACAUGGACAAAAUAUGCACACAUCCAAACAAAAUUUAGAAGAAGAAUUUCAUAUUUCUAAUGAUGCCAUAAGGAGUCGCCUUUUGCAUCUUCUUUCUUAACAUGAUACUUUUGUUCCUCGUCUUCUUCACAUGUUUGUUAUCCUAUCACUACUGUUGUAAAUCUCACAAUCUCUCUAUUUCUCACACUCAUUUUCGGUUUCAUUGUCUUUAGAGAGAAGCCCAACUCAGGGAAUAUGCACCUUUUGUAUUAUUUCUCUUGGUUUUGGACUCUUUGCCCUCAAGCCUACGAAAUGUUUAGUUGUGUUGCAAAAGAUCACAACCGUUUUGUAGUUUUAAGAUUAAGUUUUAAGUUAGGAACAAAAGAUUUAGAUCUUAACAUUAUGCAAAAAGAAAAAAUGAUCAGAUCCUAACAGUUCGAUGAAAGACCGUCUCACCCGAAAGACCCCGCCCAUAGCCGCCUGCCAGAUCUAAAGAGGUUGCUACUUUCUUCCUCCAGAUCUCUUACUUUGAAUGAGUUACUCGAUCUCGCUCUGCAGAGGGUUUUUACUAGUCGCGAUGAGUUGUUUCAGUUCUUAAAAUCGAUGAAGAGAGAAUCGAGCCCAUAAGAUAUGGAGAGAGUGAGGCGGUACGAAUCAUGGAAGAAGAAGAAUGUAAUCGGGAAGAGAAAUCGAGAAAGUGGGGAGUUGGGAAAGAGAAUGUGGUUACUGGAUUUUGUAUCGUGGCAUUCUAAUUGAGGGAACCAAAUUCGCCGUCAAUAACUUUCUUAACGGUGAUUCUAAAUGAGUCCCUUAAAAAUAAAAUAAUAAAAAUUAAUUGAAAAAGUAAGAGAGAGAAGAAGAAAGAGAGAAAUACGGUCUAAAAAAAACUUUGCUUCAGUGUGACGAGAAACCCACAUGAGAUGUGGAAAAAUGCAAUUGGUCAAUUUUUUUAUU